CCUACGUGGGGCAGCAGUGGGGAAUAUUGGGCAAUGGGCGCAAGCCUGACCCAGCAACGCCGCGUGAAGGAAGACGGCUUUCGGGUUGUAAACUUCUUUUGUCAGGGAAGUGUAGACGACGGUACCUGACGAUUAAGCCACGGCUAACUACGUGCAAGCAGCCGCGGUAAUACGUAGGUGGCAAGCGUUGUCCGGAUUUACUGGGUGUAAAGGGCGUGUAGCCGGGUUGACAAGUCAGAUGUGAAAUCCUGCGGCUUAACCGCAGAACUGCAUUUGAAACUGUUGAUCUUGAGUACUGGAGAGGCAGAUGGAAUUCCUGGUGUAGCGGUGAAAUGCGUAGAGAUUAGGAGGAACACCAGUGGCGAAGGCGGUCUGCUGGACAGCAACUGACGGUGAGGCGCGAAAGCGUGGGGAGCAAACAGGAUUAGAUACCCGAGUAGUC
RNAcentral lists this ribosomal RNA (442 nucleotides) under uncultured bacterium. Its description in RNAcentral is "partial 16S ribosomal RNA". It matches the Rfam family "Bacterial small subunit ribosomal RNA", at positions 338 to 795 of the family's 1533-position model. The record is from RNAcentral.